GACGAACGCUGGCGGCGUGCUUAACACAUGCAAGUCGAGCGGUAAGGCCUUUCGGGGUACACGAGCGGCGAACGGGUGAGUAACACGUGGGUGAUCUGCCCUGCACUUCGGGAUAAGCCUGGGAAACUGGGUCUAAUACCGGAUAUGACCUCCUAUCGCAUGGUGGGUGGUGGAAAGAUUUAUCGGUGCAGGAUGGGCCCGCGGCCUAUCAGCUUGUUGGUGGGGUAAUGGCCUACCAAGGCGACGACGGGUAGCCGACCUGAGAGGGUGACCGGCCACACUGGGACUGAGACACGGCCCAGACUCCUACGGGAGGCAGCAGUGGGGAAUAUUGCACAAUGGGCGGAAGCCUGAUGCAGCGACGCCGCGUGAGGGAUGACGGCCUUCGGGUUGUAAACCUCUUUCAGCAGGGACGAAGCGCAAGUGACGGUACCUGCAGAAGAAGCACCGGCUAACUACGUG
RNAcentral lists this ribosomal RNA (462 nucleotides) under uncultured bacterium. Its description in RNAcentral is "partial 16S ribosomal RNA". It matches the Rfam family "Bacterial small subunit ribosomal RNA", at positions 28 to 507 of the family's 1533-position model. The record is from RNAcentral.